This is a non-coding RNA of Cheilinus undulatus (humphead wrasse), 360 nucleotides long. The record is from the annotation of a RefSeq genome assembly. NCBI's taxonomy places the organism in Eukaryota, Metazoa, Chordata, Actinopteri, Labriformes, Labridae.
AUGAUUUACCUUUUGAUCCUCUGUUUCUGCCUCUCAGGUUGUGGUCUGUCUCUGGAGGUCCGUCAGUCUCACUCUGAUCUCAUCACUGAUCCUGGAGACAGAGUGCAGAUUUUCUGCAGCCAUAAUAAAACAGACUACAGGGUGAUGCUCUGGUACCAGCGCUCACAGGGGGACACAGCUAUGAAGCUCAUCGGAUAUCUCUACUAUAAAACUGUCAACAUGGAGAAAGCAUAUGAAGCAGAUUUUAAUUUAUUUGGAGACUUGGGAGGAACUACAGCAAAGAAUGGCUCUCUCAUUAUUGCAAGUGCAAGAAAAGAGCACAGUGCAGUUUACUACUGUGCUGCAAGAGAAGCACACUGA